This is a long non-coding RNA of Oxyura jamaicensis (ruddy duck), 158 nucleotides long. RefSeq lists it as uncharacterized. The record is from RefSeq and is a predicted model, not a curated record. The transcript is spliced from 4 exons. NCBI's taxonomy places the organism in Eukaryota, Metazoa, Chordata, Aves, Anseriformes, Anatidae.
UCAAGAGAGAAAAUACGGAAAAUAACAUGCUAUAUAACUUAAUUUGGAAAACAGGCAUAGCAGACCUGAGAUUAAAGCAAUCAACAUUGUGACAAGCAACUAUUAAGCAGGUCUAAUACUUACACCAAUUUUAGUUUAACAUGCUCUUGUCAGAUCUG